RNAcentral lists this unclassified non-coding RNA (2619 nucleotides) under Hevea brasiliensis (rubber tree). Lineage: Eukaryota; Viridiplantae; Streptophyta; Magnoliopsida; Malpighiales; Euphorbiaceae. The record is from RNAcentral.
GUGAGAAACAGAGAAAGAAGUCCCAUGGUCAAGAACAAGAAGCUCUGGUCAUACAAGGAGAUCAAGUAGAACAGACUGUGGAGGUUAGUACUGCAAAAAGUAAUGAUUCUACUACGAGCAGCUAUAGGAUGUCAUCUUGGAAGAAAUUUCCAUCAGCUGCCGAGAAAAAUCGGAAGGGCACUGAUUCCAUCGGUACACCUACCAAGGAUAAAUCAGAAACGCUGCAUAAUAAAGACGAAACAAGAACCUUUGGGGAUGACAACUCUGAAAAUCUUGGAACUCCAGAGCAUGCUGCAUCAACAGGAAUCAGAAAAGUUUCUUGGGGUUUCUGGGGGGAGCACCAUAAUGUUGCAUAUGAUAAUUCGAUGAUAUGCCGCAUUUGUGAGGUCGAAAUACCAAUAGUACAUGUAGAGGAGCACUCUCUGAUAUGUACAAUUGCUGAUCGGUGUGACUUGAAAGGCUUAACUGUGAAUGAACGACUUGAAAGAGUUGCAGAAACGCUUGAUAAGAUAUUGGAAUCAUGGACACCAAGAAGUUCUUAUACACCAAGACGAACAACGCCAGGUAUACAUGAGGACGUAGAUGAUCUAUCACCCAAAAGAAACAGUUUUUCUCGCCAAUGCUCUGAAGACACGCUUGAUGCCAUGCCUGAUGCUGACAAUGCUUUUGUGAUGGAAGAUCUGAAUGUUUUGUCAGACAUUUCUUGUGAAGCGCGUUCCGCGUUGUUACCUGAUGGAGACACAAAAACUUCAUCUGGGGGAAGCUUGACACCACGAUCACCAUUAUUAACUCCACGGACCAGACAGAUUGAAUUGCUAUUGAGUGGACGGAGGACAAUAUCGGAACUUGAGAAUAAUCAGCAGAUAAGCAAGCUACUGGAUAUUGCCCGUUCUGUUGCAAAUGUAAACGAGAGUGACUAUAGUUCAUUGGAGUCUAUGCUUGACCGCCUAGACGACCUCAAAUAUGCCAUUCAGGAUAGAAAGGUGGAUGCCCUCAUUGUAGAGACUUUUGGAAGGCGCAUAGAGAAAUUAUUACAGGAGAAGUAUGUGGAUCUUUGUGCACAGAUAGAUGAAGAAAAAUUGGACUCGUCAAACCAUAUGGCUGAUGAAGAGAGUUCAGUGGAAGAUGAUACGGUUCGCAGUUUGCGUGCAAGCCCUAUCAAUCCAUAUUCUAAGGAUAGAACUUCUAUAGAAGAUUUUGAAAUAAUAAAACCAAUCAGCAGAGGGGCAUUUGGACGGGUUUUCCUAGCCAGAAAAAGGGCAACUGGUGAUUUUUUUGCUAUAAAGGUUUUAAAGAAGGCUGAUAUGAUUCGUAAAAAUGCUGUUGAAAGUAUUUUGGCAGAGCGAAACAUACUCAUAUCAGUUUGCAAUCCGUUUGUGGUACGGUUUUUCUACUCCUUCACAUGUAGGGAAAAUCUUUACCUGGUCAUGGAGUAUCUAAAUGGAGGAGACCUUUACUCACUGUUGAGAAACUUGGGCUGCUUGGAUGAAGACAUGGCCCGUAUGUAUAUUGCAGAAGUUGUUCUUGCUUUGGAGUAUUUGCAUUCUUUAAAUGUCAUUCACAGAGACUUGAAACCAGACAACUUGUUGAUUGGUCAAGAUGGUCAUAUCAAGUUGACAGAUUUUGGGCUCUCGAAGGUUGGUCUUAUCAAUAGCACAGAUGACUUAUCUGGUGCAUCAUUUAAUAGUUCUGCUUUUCUUGAUGACCAUGAAACAAAAAGUCAAAAUUCUUCAAAAAGAGAGCAGCGCCAAAAGCAUUCUGUUGUUGGCACUCCUGAUUAUUUGGCACCUGAGAUACUUCUUGGCAUGGGACAUGGUGCAACUGCUGAUUGGUGGUCUGUGGGUGUUAUUCUUUUUGAGCUGCUUGUUGGUAUUCCACCUUUCAAUGCAGAAACUCCACAGCAAAUAUUUGACAAUAUAAUGAAUAGAGAUAUACCUUGGCCCAGGGUACCUGAGGAGAUGAGCUUCGAAGCAUGUGAUUUGAUCAACAAAUUGUUGACUGAAAAUCCAAUUCAAAGGCUUGGAGCAACAGGAGCCAAAGAGGUGAAGCAGCACCCUUUCUUUGGGGACAUUAACUGGGACACACUUGCACGGCAAAAGGCUAUGUUCAUACCAACAGCAGAUGCAUAUGACACAAGUUAUUUUAUGAGCCGCUAUAUAUGUAAUCCAGAGGGUGAAAAUUUUCUAGGGGGCAGUGACUUUGAUGACUUAACUGACUCAUGCAGCACUGGGUCAUUCAGCAAUACCCAUGAUGAGGAUGGGGAUGAAUGCGGCAGCUUGGCAGACUUUAAUGCUCCCGCACUUGCUGUGAAGUACUCAUUCAGUAAUUUUUCAUUUAAGAAUUUGUCUCAGCUUGCCUCUAUCAAUUAUGAUAUGGUGAUUAGGAGCGCCAAGGAAGCAGCGGAUGCAUCGAAACCGUCCGCUCCUUGACAAUUCUUCAUGAUUGCUUAAAUAGCCGUUCAUCAUUUUGCUCCCAGCUGCAGUUUCAGUUUAGCAUGGUCAAUUUCAAUCGUGAUUCUUUGAUGAUGAGGAAAAAUUUUCAACCUGAAAAUUUCAACAAGACACUUUCCUAGAACAGCAGUUUAUCUAUUUGAGAAAAAAAAAAAGGUUGAAUUUGCCA